This 13777-nucleotide long non-coding RNA is filed under the name Mytilus galloprovincialis (Mediterranean mussel). Lineage: Eukaryota; Metazoa; Mollusca; Bivalvia; Mytilida; Mytilidae. The record is from RNAcentral.
CGAGAUUUUGACCGUGCAUUCAAACGGAGAACGUCUUUACUAACAAUGGCGAAUAUUUAAAGACGAAACCAACAAAUAUGGUAAGUGAAAUCACUUAUAUUGCAUUUUACUAUUGUGUAAAUGAUGCGGUCCAAUUUUCUAAAAUUAUGCAGCGUAUUUACUCAAAAUACCCAGUACAUAAACAUGAUAAAAUUACCAUUAAGUAUCUAUAAAACAAUAAUUAUAGAACCACAUAUUUUAAAGUGACAUUUUGAAUAGGAAAACAACACAUUUGGCAGACGUUUCUCGAACGUGACACAUCAUUCUGACAGUGUUUUACGGGUUUGAUUUAACUAUAACUCAUAUCUUGCUGUCAUAUGCAAGAACAAUAUCAGUCAAUAUAUUUUUUGAGUUUAUUGUUCGUCCUUUUUUUUUCUUUAAUUAAUUUUCUAUCAUGUUUAAGACAAUAUAAUCAAUCUCUUUAUCUUAAGCUGCUACAACUUUCUAGUACAAGGCUUUGUGAUAUAUUAGCAUUUUGUAGAACAAGAUGGGAACUAUUAUUUUUUGGCUCCAGUAAUCGUUACCCAAGAAAGAUUUAUGAUAAUGAUGGUUACAUUAAUCUUUUUAAUGUCAGUGGGUAAUACAAAGUUAAGGUAUCGUGUUGUGUUAUGCCUUAAAGUUGUAAAAUAAAAGUUAUUUGAGGACCUGGGGAAAUGAUUGAGAACCGUUAAAGUACGAAGUUCAUGAUCAAGAUUCCAAAUGCUGGACGGUUUUGCCAAACACGUCUAAAGUAAUGUAUUCCUGGGGAAGAAAAUCUUUAGUUUGUGAAUAAAAAAAAGGGAAACAAUUUAUUAUUAUGGACAUUUCAAUGAUAAUACAGUAGAAUUUCUGACUACUGGGCAAGUAAUAUCCUUGGGAACAUCGUUCUUUAUUCUGAUAAAAAUUUAAAUACAUAGCGUUUUUUUUUCCAUCUCGUUCUCUCAUCUUGAAACCGAAUAAAUAUCUUUAUAUAUGUUUUUUUCACAGAUAAUUGAAUAUCUUUUCAUUCGAUUUUUUACCUGUAGUUACACCGUGUAGAACACCAUAUGCCGGGUGUACACUAUCUUUGACACGGGGUAGCAGUUUUGAAGCGGAGAACGCAUUGCACGGAGGGGAAACAGAACAAUAAUCUAUUUCAAACAGAAGCAGACGUUUAAAUUGCUUUGUUUACUCAAACACCUAGCCCUUGUUUUCAGUGUUGCAGUUCCAGGUUAUCAAACUUAUGUUGACGAUUUUCCCCGAAUGAUUUAUAUAGAAAUGAAAUACUAUUAUUAAAUUUAAUCAGACGACAGCUUCGCAGUAGAAAAACUAUUGGUUUUAAUACUAAUUUGUUAUCAAAAUAUAAGGCGUCGCUCGCGUGUCAGAUUGUACGUCUCAAAGGUAGAGGCAUCUUUUUUAAUAAAAAGAGUAGAUUUGCAUAUAAAUCGGCCUUUAUCUGAUACAAAGUAAUUCAAACACAUCUACUGAUUCCUACUCUGCUAUGUUGACAAUUUACAAACAAGGUAUCUCAUUUAGCCAAUAUUUAAGUAUUUUACGUAAUUCGAACUUUAAACGUUAGAAAAAGUCUCAAAGUGAUCACAUAAUGAAACACGAAGAGAGGUCAAUGUCAUUGAUUUUGUGUUAUACGUUUAAAGCAUAAAAAAGCAAAAUGGUGUACACGAUUGGUCCGUGUAUAUCUGCGUCCAAUCGUUUUUCGUUUUGAUGUAUCAAAAACAAAAAACAAAAAACGAAAGUGUUUCAUUUUCGUUUUUGAUUCUUUAAAACCAAAAUGAAAAAAAAAGUGUUUUUCGUUUUUUCGUUUUUGAAUUUCACAAAACAAAAACGAAAAAAAAAGUAUUUCAUUUUUCAUUUUUGAUUCUCAAAAACAAAAUCGAAAAUGAAAGUGUUUCAUUUUUCAUUUUUGAUUCACAAAAACAAAAACGAAAAAAGUGUAUUCAAUUUUCUUUUCCCCCACACGUUUAUUGUCAUUCAAAAAAUGACAAUGUUGUCAUUUACAUUCAUUUAAAGGUCGUUAAAGUAUCAGCACAGCGGUUGUCAGAUCAAUACUACUUUAUCGAAGAUAUGUCGCCGGAAUGCAAAAAGUCUUUAGCAAUCGGAACAAUAGGGUGCGUGAUCUUUACUUUUAAGUUGGAGAGUUAAUCUAAUGAUAAUACAGAAGCGUAACUAGCCUCUUUUACAAAAAAAGCAAACUAUAUAAUGUUGGCGAGGGACGGCCUCAAGGACCCCAGAAGAACUGGAAAAAAUGAUACAAAAUCUUUCAGGCCCUUUCUUAAUCUAAAGCGCAAGUUUGUUUUAUCUAUUUAUUAUGUUCUGUCUCGGAGCAAAUAUAUAAGACAGUGUAAGACUUUUAGUAUUUACAUGUAGAGCAAUAUCAAAAGACAUAUGUAGAUGAAGAAAAAAAAUAAUGGAAUCCACAAAGUUAAGUGGUGUGGCUAUUGUUAGUUUAAACAUAUUAUAUAAUUGUGGUUGGAAAUUUUCUCCAGAAACGGGAUCGAACAGGAACUUAUGUUUUUGUAUCCGGUCAACUAGCCUAUGUUACUUUUUGUAUAAUGAGAUCAAUGGUCCUAUUCUCGUUCGCUCCUUUCAAAUGAAGAAGGAAUAAAACCCUGUAUUAAUAAUUUAUUUUUCUAUAUAUUGUUGCGAUUUGUCCCGUUACAUUUACUCCACAUCUCUUUAUUUUCUAUUUUGGACUGGGCACGGCUCAAUGCUAGUUAGCCUCCAAUAUAAAGGUCAUAUGGUUUUUUUUAAAAAUAUUUGAUGCCGUGGGUUGGAUUUUUAGCUUUAAUGUAAACCAUGUCCGUUUUUAACUUUUUACAGCAAAGAGCCGUUUUUUCUGUAAUAUACUGUAACAGUUAGGAGCACUCCACAGUUAGGUGGUAGUUUCGCAUUUUGGCCCCUGUGAGCUAAUGUGCAAUAAAAUCAAUAUGAGUCUUUGUAAUAUGGAGUAUGCAAUAAAUUCAUGUUUGGUCCGAUUAAAUGCGAGUAUUAAAAUAGCCCUUUUGUUAUUGAAAACAGCGUUUAUUAUGAACUAGUCAAGGGGGUAUAUGUGAAUGUAUGCAAAUAUAGCCUGUACACAUUUCUGUAAAUCUAUGACAGCACAUGCCCGUUAUUUGCAUGGAAUCCCUACCAUGCUACCUUGGUGCCGACACAAAUCUAUCUGUAAUGUUGUUUUAGGAAUGCCAGCAACUUACACAUCGCACGAUUGUACCUUUGAUAUCCUCAGAAUGUGGAUAAGUGCAGUACGAAGAAAAGAAAUUGAUUGAGAGCUUCUAAAGACUACAGCAUUGUAUUGCUAUUACUGUACCCAUAUAGGAAAUGAUUUAGAAUAACCAGUUGAAGUUUUUCUAAAAAGGUAUUAACAUCAAAGGCAUUGAAUUCUAAUGAUUUGGUAUCCAAUUUUGGGUGUAGUUUCGCAUAUUGAGAGCUAGAAUAUGUCCAACCCCUUUUGAGUGCAAUAUAGGCUGUUUUCUGUAUGACAGUCGUAUUGCAUGUCCUACCAUAUAUUUCAUUUAUUGUAAUGUUUUCCAUGUUGCCAUGGGGGGAUACACAUAAAAGGAAUUUAACUUUUGAAUAAUCAGAAUGUAUGGAAGAUACUGGAUUACAUACAUACAUAUCACAUGUACAAACCCAGUUAGGUUAAUGUAUUAGAAAUCCAGGAAUAGGAGAUGAUAAAACAUUUUGUGGCUCAUUUUUAAUUUUAUUUUCUAACUGUGGAGUGCUACCUUAUGGCACAUCAGAAAGCACAGAAAAGCACUUUUUAAGAUAAAAUUUACCACAAAUCUUUAGUCUUUUAUGUUCUUGUUUAAUUCUGAUGUAAAACAUCUGUACUCCAGGGGAAUAUGCCUCAGAAUGUAUCGCUUAUUUACUUUUGACUUCUACAUUAUCAAAAGGAUGUUUCUUAGCAACCAAUUGGACCGAAUAUUGGACACUGCAGACAUGUUCGUCUUAAAUUUUACUCUUCAUUAGGACUCUUCGCCAUUGUGAACAGAAGAUUGGAUGACACGAUUUUAAAUCAGAUGGUAGUUUAGUACAAGGGGUGGUCUUUAGCCUGCUCUUUAUCCCUUUGUACUCCAAGCGACUUUUGGGCGAUAGUUGUGUUUCCUUUUCCCGAAAGCGCUCAUCAAUGUUGUAUUUGUAGUAUCCCCUCCGAAACUACUAGUGUUGCAAAUGUUCCCAAGUCUAGCAGUUCCCUAUGAUUUUCAGAAGAUUUAUGUUCUCUUGAUUUCGGCAUGCGGCUGAAUGGGAUACCACGGUAGCAGUGUUUAGAUGGCCUUUUAGAGAAAGGAUUGAUGUUGCUUUUGUUUGGGCUGAGGUCCUAUAAUGGUUUCCGUUCUUGAUGUUAACUGUAUAGAGAGAGAUUUGCCAUUUUGUUUUUUUAAUUAAUUUUCUAACUUCAGAGCUACCUUUGGAUCCCUAAAGAGAGAUGAUUUUAAGUUAAAUCACCUAUGAGAGAGUCUUUAUUUCUUGUUUUUCCAACAAGAAAUCUGCUAGAAGAAUUUUGUAUUUUAUUUUUAAUAUCUCCUUAUUAAUAUUUUUAUCAAUUAUCAUUUGAGAAUAAACUUGUAUAUCAAUCGAUUUUGAGAAUAAUUUGUUAUAUCAAACCUUUUUGAGAAUAACCUUGUUUAUAUCUGUUCUUCUUGUGAAUAACUUGUUAAAUAAUUAUUGAAGAUACUGUUAUAAAAUAUACCUUAUUGAGAAUAACUUGUUAAUAACUUUCGAAAUAAAGCUAUUCUUCGAGGAUAACUUGUUAUAAUCAACUCUGUAUUGUGGAUGAAUACUUGUUUAUAGGGCGAGCUCCUAUUUGAGAAUAACUUGUUAUAUUCAAACUCUAGUUGUUGAGUAUUGAUUAAUUAUUUUGGUUGUUUUAACAAAAUAAGACACAAUGAGUUUCUUUACUUCCGAUGUUAUAUGCAGUCAAAAAAAAACAUAGAUCCUGCCAUGUGUGAAUUAACUAAGUAUGUGUAUUUUAUGAAGAGUCAAAUAUUUCUAUUAAUUGCUUCCACGUGAUACAAAGAUCAAACUCGAGAAUAUGUCGCUUAUAUUCAUUUGAGAGAUGAUUAUUACUGGUUGUUUUAACAAAAAUAAGACACAAUAGUUCUUUACUUCCGAUGUUAUAGCAUAAACAUAGAUCCUGCCAUGUGUGAUAUAUAAGUAUGUGUAUUUUAUCAGUAAAAUAUUUCUAUCUAAUUGCUUCCACGUGAUUACAAGAUCUCGUAUGCUUAUUGGUUGAUUCUAUAUACGUCACAGAUGCAUGCACGUGUGCUUUUGACAUCACCUGACCUAAACUAUAUCUUAAAAUAGUUCAGGAGUGUCCGUAACAGAUAUACAUAAUAAUGUAUUAUUUUCUUCUUCUGGAUCGAUAUUACUAAUGUAAAAUAGAAAAUCCUUUACAUACAUUGUAUAUAUAUAUCUCGUAUCUCUAUUAAAAUAAUAGCAUUAUUUGAUGGUCAGCUAAAUAAUUAUAGUUUGAUAGUUAAAGUCAAUUGGUAUUCUUCAUUUAGAAAAAAAAACCCUAUUAUUUGUCAGCGGUUGAACCUAUAAUUAUUGUAAUAUUCGUAUAUACAGGUGGUCGAUCCCCAAUGAGAAUCAAAUCUGAACUAGUGACUUGUAUGUAUAAGUCAAUUAUCCAAUAAGCGUUUCUCCUACUUCCCAGUAUGUAUGAAUAUUUUAGUGGAAUGACACGUGGUAUACGGUAUAUUAAUUUUUAGUGCAUGACAUAUGAUAUCUUCAUUUUAUUCUUACUGAAAAUUAAUUAUCGUUUAAAAGGAUACAAUAGAUACAAUUAAGUCUGCCUCAUAUCUUUACUUAUACACCUAGAAAUUGACAUUAGGGUCGGUUGAAAACGAUAUAAGAGAUGAUAUUUUAUCGUCCUAAUUGUGAACGCUUCAUUUUUAUGAAGCAAAAUUCCAGCAACGACUGCAUACGCAGGAUACAUAUCUCCCAGUUCACUACAAUAUUCCAGAAAUUGUAUUUGCCAUCAUGAUAUCCUUGAUAACAGAUGCUGCUCAAAAGGAAGCUUAAAUCAUGGUACACUACAUUUUAUGUGCGCCAACACCAGUUGUGAGUGCUUUAUUGGAUAUCCGUUUCAAAGAUAAUAACGUAUAAAUUGAGAAAGGAAAUGGGGAAUAUUUCAAAGCGACAACAACCCAACCAUAGAGAAGACAACAGCCGAAGGUCACCAAUGGGUCUUCAAUGUAGCAAGAAACUCCCGCACCCGUAGGCGUUUCGAAUAUGUACCCGUAUAUGUUUCGAAUGUCGUUACUACAAUCCCGUCCUCUUUCCACAAAUAUGAACUACUGUAGAAGACUUAUUACCUGGUUUGUGCUCACAUGAGCAACAUGACGGUUGUCACAUGCGGAGAAGGAUCUUCUAACUCUUCCGUGGCACAUGAAAUCCCCAGUUUUUUUUCUGUCAAUUAUAUUUUUCAGUUUUUCUAGGUCAAAUAAUUCUUCCACAUCUAUGUAAUGUACCUUUAAUGGAAAACAUGUACAAGUAUCAUACCACAUGAGUGUAAAAUGGUCUUGGGCCAUUUGUAAUUCAAAAUUUAAUUUGGUCAAUUUAGACAUGUUAAAAUAAAAACACGAAUACUGAAGCUAUAAGACAUGGAAUUUUGUUUUAUCUUUGGUUCAUUCAUUAAUUCAUAUGCUCAGAUCUCAUGAAAGUGAUGCUGAUGCGUUGUUUUUUCAUGAUACCACACAAUAUUUACGUUCGUACAAUGUUACAGAGUUUCCGUCGUCGUCGUCAUCCAAUUACAUUAAAUUACUAACAAUAACUUGAGUAUAAACUCAUUAAAAUUGUAACAAAAAAGAUUUUGGGUGUUAUUGAUCUUACUGUUUAGGUAUGUUGGUUCAAAAACAUGCAUUUUUCUUGUUGCAAGGUUUCUGGACAAUAACUUGGGUCUAUAUGAAAUUUUACCACAAGGUUCAAUACCUGAAAUGUAAUGAUGGGGUGGAUUUUGGGGGUUAUGUGUCUUCCUGUUUAGGAAAAAGAGUCCAAAAAUCAAUAUUUUUCUAAUAAAUUUCAAAGUGUUCAAUAUCAAACUAAGUUUCUUGGGUUUCUUUGAAAUUCUGAAUCUAACAGUGUAUUAAGAUUUUAUAUUUGAGGUCCCAUUAUCAAAUUAGUCCACAUUGAGGUUCAAAAGUUCAAAAACAUAAACUUCAACCACAAUUAAGUUCUUGUUUUUUUAUGCUAAAUAUAACUAUACAUUUACAUUUGGGAUAAGGAGCAGGGUACUUUAUUUUAUUCUAAGCGAACCCCUUUAAAAACUUGGAUAAUUUUCUACCCCAAUAAAGAUAUGCUGAAUCAAAGUGUGUUUUCAGAUUUUGGAUAUUUGACCGUAAAAUUCCAAUUCAAUUAGUGUAGUACAACACAUGACCUUGAUCACUAUGACAUAUAUUUCAUUUUAAAUGUUCUUUAUUGUGUUUAGGUUUAUACUCUUUUUACAGACAUGACAGCAAACUAAGGGAACAUAUAUUUAUUCUAGUGAGCUUCCUCCAAGCAUGCUUGCUUGGAGGAUGCUCCGAGCAUUUUAGAGAAGCUAAUAACGUUAAUACACCAUUACACUCCCAUUAAUGUCAAUCAAAUAGAAAAGUUUAUAGUUAAGAGCUUGUAUGAGCUUUUUGUGAGCCUUUUGUACGCCUGUAAUAAUAAAGUUUUACUAUGUUCCCCUAGAAAAUUAGUUAAUUGACACAAAAAUAGAUACAUCAAAACUUAAGGUUAAACAGUUUAGAGACAUUUCAUCAACAUGAGAACGAAAAGCUCUAGUAUAACUAAAACAUAUUUAUAUAAAGCCGAUCAAAAUAACACAACAGUGGUUGUAUAUAAAAUCGAUUACAUUAAAACAGAAACAAGUCACCUUAACAGUUAUCAUUACUUGAAAAUAACUAUUAACGUUGUUGUCAAAUCUAUAAAAGAUAUUGUUGAAAACUAUAUAGGAACAAGAAACAGAUUAAUAAACUUAAAUUUUUUUGAAGAAUGAUAACGAAUCAAAACAUGGACACUUCUUCCGAAAAUUCAUAAAAUCAAUCUAGAAAUAAUUAAUGAGACAUUUCGAACUGGUCAAAUAGUUAGCAACAUAAACAGUUCUUACCUACCAAUCAUCCAUAAGAGUAACUCUACUAUGAGACGCAUUGAAAGAUUACUGGAUCUAACUCUAAAACCGUUAUUGAAGAGUCAUCACUUUUACAUUCAAGAUAUAAAAGACUUCAUUUAUAAAAUAGAGUCGCACAAGGUCAAGAAAGAAUGCAUUCUUAUUGCCUAUGACGUAACGGUCAAUUUACACAAAUAUGAAGAUUGAUAACUAAGAAGAAACAGUAUCAAUGCACUUUCAUCAGUUGACUAACAAGAAUGUGCUUUAAAAAUUUAAAACAAACAGAAUAAACGGCAUUUGUAAAGUUAAGAAACAAUGAACUUGAAUUAAAUGGACAUUUAAACAAACAAAUUAUAGGAGCGCCUAUUGGUGGUAUAUUUUCUCCGACAUGCAGAUUAACAUCUGUCUGUCCUAUUAAAAAUAUCUUAGAAAAGUUCCAAUGGAUAGAAAACAUUAAAUUGCACUGUCAAUACAAAGACGACAGUUUUAUGUUCUUCACAGGCAAAUUAAAACAGUUUGAAGGUUUCUUUAACACAGCGAACAACAUUGACUUUCUGCUUAAAAUCACAUUUGAGGUGUCUAGAUUUAGUAUGACCUAUUUAGAAUUUACCGAAAAGUACAAAGGUGAAAGAUUCCAGAAUAAAAACAUACUUGAUGUUAAAUCAAAUAUACCAAAACAUAAAACGUUUCAAUAUUUACCAAUCACUAGUGCCCAUCCUAAACACAUUAACAAGUAUUACAGUGUGUUAAUAUAUAUGUCAUAUAAGAAAUAAUAGUCACAUCGCUGAAUUAGAUAAACAUUUAAAUAUUGAUACGUUUCGUGUUUUAUACGCCCGUCAAAAUUUUGACAGGACGUAUUAUGGUAUACAAAUGUCCGGCGUCCGUCCGUACAUCUGUCUGUCCGUCUGUCUGUCUGGCGUAAACAUGUCGCACCGAAACUUGAGAACAACUCAUCCAAAUUUCACGAAACUUAAUAUAGUUGUUUCGUAUGAUGGUCAAAUGAUCUGUAUACCUUUUGGUGAAAAUAAUAUUAAAACUUUUUGAGUUACGGCACUUUGUAACUAAAACAGGGGUGUGGUUUUUUUCACAUGUCGCACCGUAUCUCAUUAACGAUUUAUGAUAAUUAAUUAAAACUUUAUACACUUCUCAGUUAUAUUAAUCUAAAGAACUGUAUACUUUUUGGUGAUGAUUCAAAAUUUUAUAUUUGAGUUAUUGAGUAUUUUGUAAAAAAAAAGGGUGGGUUUAUAUGUCGCACCGUAUCAGAAAAACAAUUUAUGACUAUUGCUUAAAACUUUACACACUUCUUCAUUAUAUUAUUCUUAAGAUCUGUAUACUUUUUGGUGAUGAUUCAAAAAAAUUUUUAAGAGAUAUUGAGUUUUUUGUUAAAAAAAAGUGUGUUUUCACAUGCUACACUGUAUCUCAUAAUCUUUUUAGGAUUAUUGUUUAAAACUUUACACUGUUCUUAGUUAUAUUAAUCUUAGGAUCUUUAUACUUUUAGGUUUUGAUUCAAUAAUUUAUGUGAGAGAUAUCGAGUUUUUGUUAAAAAAAAAAGGUGUGUUUUCACAUGUCACGCUGUAUCUCAGAAACUAUUUAUGAUUAAUGCAUAAAACGAUGGGCGUAUCAUGCGCUCAUUGCGCAGCUGUUUAUUUUUACAUGUCGCGGCGUAUCUCAAAAACGAUUUAUAAUUAUUGCUAUGAGCUUUACACUCUUCUUUGUUAUAUUACUCUAAAGAUCUGUAUACUUUAAGGUUUAGAUUCAAAAUUUUAUUUAAGUGACAUUUAGUGUAUUGUAAAAAAAAAGAGAAGGGAGGAGGUUUCACAUGUCUUGCCGUAUCUCAAAAACUAUAUAUGGUUAUUGCUUAAAACUUUCUGAGAAACUAUUUAUAAUUAUUGCAUAAAUCUAUCAGACAAGAUGUCGGGCGUAUCAUGCGCUCAUGGCGCAGCUGUUUGUUUUAUAUUUAUUUAACAUCAAAUAUGUUAUUAUUAUUGAAUAUUUCACCUUUGUACACUUCGGUAAAUUCUAAAUAGGUCAUACUAAAUCUAGACACCUCAAAUGUGAUUUUAAGCAGAGGGUCAAUGUUGUCCGCUAUGUUAAAGAAAUCGUCAACCUGUUUUAAUGUGCCUGUGAAGAACAUAAAACUGUUGUCUUUGUAUUGACAGUGCAAUUGGAUUUUUUCUUUCCAUUGGAACUUAAUAUCUAAGAUAUUUUUAAUAGACCAGACAGAUAUUAAUCUGCAUGUCGGAGAAAAUAUACCACCAAUAGGCGCUCCUAUAAUUUGUUUGUAUAAAUGUCCAUUUAAUUCAAGUUCAUUGUUUCUCAACUUUAACAAAUGCCGUUUAUUCGUGUUUGUUUGAAAUUUUUAAAGUAUAUUCUUGUUUGCAACACUGAUGAAAAUGCAUUUAUAAAUGUUACAUCAUAGGCAAUAAGAAUGCAUUCUUUCUUGACCUUGUGCGACUCUAUUUUAUGAAUGAAGUCUUUCGUAUCUUGAAAUUAAAAGUGAUGACUCUUUAAUAACGGUUUUAGAAUUAGAUCCAGUAAUCUUUCAAGGAGUCUCGUAGUAGAGUUACACUUAUGGAUGAUUGGUCGGUAAGGAAUGUUUAUGUUGCUAACUAUUUGACCAGUUCGAAAUGCCUCAUUAAUUAUUUCUAGAUUGAUUUAAUGACUUUUCGAAUGAAGGUACAUGUGUCUAUGUUUUGAUUUGUUGUUAUUCUUCCAAAAAUUAUAAGUUUGUGAAUCAAUUUUUUUUCCUAUAUAGUUUUUCAACACUAUCUUUUAUAGAUUUGACAACAACGUUAAUAGUUAUUUUCAAGUAAUGAUAACUGUUAAGGUGACUUGUUUCUGUUUUGAUGUAAUAGAUUUUUUACAACCGCUGUUGUGUUAUUUUGAUUGGGUUCAUAUACAUAUGUUUUAGUUAUGUUAGAGCUUUUCGUUCUCAUGUUGAUGAAAUGUCCUUUAACUGUUUAACCUCAAGUUUUGAUAUAUCUAUUGUUAUGUCAAUUAACUAAUUUUCUAGGGCAACAUAGUAAAAUUUUAUUAUACAGGCGUACAAAAGGCUUACAAAAAGCUCAUACAAGCUCUUAACUAUAACUUUUAUAUUUGAUUGACAUUAAUGGGAAUGUUAUGGUGUAUUAACGAUAUUAGCUUCUCUAAAAUGCUCGGAGCAUCCUCCAAGCAUGCCUGGAGGAAGCUCUCUAGAAUAAAUAUAUGUUCCCUAAAGUGAUAUAUCAAUAUGACAUAAUUUUCAAAAGUACCACAUAGUACACGAACCAUUGGCUCACUAGGACCUACAUAUAACGGCAGUAUAUCGUGUGUUAUUUAUAUAUACACAUUUGUUAGUUAUAACAAAUUUUACACACUAUUGCACCUGCAAUUUUGUAUGCAUAUACAAAUGAUAAAACAGAUAUAUUGACAGAUGUGAAACAAAGAUGUUAACUUAAUGCCACAUGCAUGGUUUCGGUGCUUUCUUUGUUGAAGGUCGCCGAAAUGGCGUUGUGGUUCAUAAUUAUAUAUAUAAUGUGUUCUCAAAAGCUGGCGUAUCAUGUUCUACUUCUCAUUUUUAAUUUUUAUACAUAAAUGAGUUCUCCAAUGUAAUAAAAAAAUAAUUUGUUUAUAUCACACUUUUCAGGUCAGUCAAAUUUUACAGAGAUUGGUGCAAAAAUAUUUGAUACUCAUAAAGUGAGGCGUCCUCGUUAAAAAUCAGCCAAACGUUUUAAUAAAGCAGUAAUUCUCUCUAAAAGUCUCACUGAAAAAAAAAUAGUUCGUUGUUAUCGACGUCGCGGUAAGGUGUCAAGACGUCAUAAUUGUUUAGAGAAACGAAGUAGUUGAAUAUAACUGAAAAUAGUUACAACUUUCCAUAAACCAACUGACCAAAAAACUAAGACUACCAAUUACAUGUCACCCUUUAACAAUUCAUCUGCCUGAUUAGGGUUACAACUGACAAUCGCAAAACAUGAGAUGCGAAAGUUAACAGUAAAUAGCUUUGCACUUAAUGUUGAUAAGAAAAGAACUUUGUUAAAAUCGCUCGUUGCCUAAACCUCAAUGAUGUAAACAAACUCAUCCUAGAUACCAGGAUUGAAAUUUUGAAUUUGCACCAGACACGCGUUUCGUCUUCAAAAGACUCAUCAGUAACGCUCUAAUGAAUAAAAGUUAAAAAGGCCAAAUAAAGUAAUAACUAUGAAGUUAAUAAACUGUCUGAUUACGAAAUGAUUUUUUUAAUGAAUGUGACCGUCUUCAGCCUGAAAUAUUUGCCACAUUGAACGCUUCGGUAUGUUUAUGGCGAGUAAAUACAACUGCGUCUUCCAAACGACUGCUUAAUCGUAGUUUUUGUUUAUCAAGACUAUUGAACUAAAAAAAAUUAGAGACCUUCCAAAAUCCUGUAUUGGCUGGAUCAGAACACGGCCAAUACGGAAUAGUAUCAAUAUUUGCCGAGUUGAAACUUUUAUAUGUCAUAGUCAGUUUUAAUCAUAUAAAGACCAAGAACAGAGUAGUUAAGUAAUAAUGAUUUUUAUUAAAUGUAUAAACAAAUCAGAACUAAUACGGAAAAAACAUCAUGUGCAAUAAUAUUGACGUUGACCUGACAUAUAUAAAAAAAUCCGUAUUGAUCCAAGGCUCAAUUUUGGUUUUCAUUUGUUUACGCCUAGGAUUACUUAAUUUUGGACGUAUCGUUAUGCAUACAUGUUAAAUUACAUUUUUAUCAUAUUGUUUAACUUAGUAUCACGAAAUUUUGUAAAUGAUAUUCAGUGUUUGUAACGUAUUGUACAUGUUGUAGGAAUAAAUAAACUGUCUGAUUUAUUCUUCCCAGCUUCUUUUUAAGUGGUAGAUAAAACGGAUUGUAAUAGCAAAAGAUUAAGUACUUGGAUGAUGUUUUUUUUUAUCUAACAAUGUUGACAAACAAUCUAUCGUGAAUGCGGAAAGACAAGAUAAGAUGUCAAUUGCUGUAUAUUCUUCACUGUAAUUUUCUUAGUUUUAUCGAAGAAUUAAAAUCAUUAAUAGAAGUGUUAUAAACUGGUGUGUUUCUGUAUUGGUCUUCGAGUCUUUGUUCUUUACAGCUAACAUCGAAUCUCGAAUAAAGAGACAGUUUUUUAAAAGCAAAUUUUCUUGAUUCUGAAUCCUAAUGAUUUGUUUCAAUUGUAUCGUAUUGUUGUGAUAAUUUACCUGAAUAAAUACUGUUAAAACUAACCUCGAAUCUCUAACCUGGCCAAUACAAAAACAGUCUGUUAAUAGCACUAAUUUAUUGUACUUGUCAUUCUGCAAAUUGGUGACUAGAUAACUUAUAUCUUCGAAAAUAUUGAACAUGGAUAACAUUAUUUACUUAUCUUGACAUUAAGACUUAUUCCAAAGGCCUAUUUAAGUGAAAAAAAGAAGCCCUUAACUUGAUUACGACCACAGAGUGACAUAACUAUAAAGAAAAAUCUGCCUAGCCGUGCCGUUUUUUUUUUCACCAAAAGCGUAUCAAGUUUUACUUUUAUAUUUUGUAUUGAUCAUGUUUCGUGCGAGUUUUUAAAAACCAGCAAUCGAUUUAUAUAAAUUUUUCUCAUUUUAGGUAUUCUAUUAGUUAUGCUCAAAAGUUUGACGCCAACACAAGAAAGGGAAACAUAAAUUGGUUGAGAGAUGAAUCGUUUUCUUCGUGCAAUAAAAAAUGGCAUCCCAGUUUCAUAUAAUUAGAUACGC